CAGUAGCCGCGGGAACACCGAGGGUGCAAGCGUUAAUCGGAAUUACUGGGCGUAAAGCGCGCGUAGGUGGUUUGUUAAGUUGGAUGUGAAAUCCCCGGGCUCAACCUGGGAACUGCAUCCAAAACUGGCAAGCUAGAGUAUGGUAGAGGGUGGUGGAAUUUCCUGUGUAGCGGUGAAAUGCGUAGAUAUAGGAAGGAACACCAGUGGCGAAGGCGACCACCUGGACUGAUACUGACACUGAGGUGCGAAAGCGUGGGGAGCAAACAGGAUUAGAUACCCCUGUAGUCCCUGUCUCUUAUAC
This 301-nucleotide ribosomal RNA is filed under the name uncultured bacterium. RNAcentral describes it as "partial 16S ribosomal RNA". It matches the Rfam family "Bacterial small subunit ribosomal RNA", at positions 509 to 807 of the family's 1533-position model. The record is from RNAcentral.